UGGGCCUUUCAUGAACCCUUUCAUAGACGUGUGGGAUCCUUCGUUAGUAUGGUCCUAACGCUGCUAUAUUGGCCCAAC
RNAcentral lists this transfer RNA (78 nucleotides) under Pinus thunbergii (Japanese black pine). Its description in RNAcentral is "tRNA-Pro". The record is from RNAcentral. RNAcentral also lists the same sequence under 2 other names. Lineage: Eukaryota; Viridiplantae; Streptophyta; Pinopsida; Pinales; Pinaceae.